CAAUAUAGAUGGUGGGCAGGAAAUGAAAAAGAAACAAACAGGUAAGUUCAUUUCGUGUUACCAAGUGCACUAACUUAACACGUGGUAAGUGUAAAACACUUAGCAGCCAGCUUUCAACUCAGUGUGACCUAGUAGGAAGCCUACUGAGGAGUCCUGGCUCCUUCAAGGACUAGCUAGGAGACACUGGGCAAUCACUGCAUUUUCCUGAAACUCCAUUCAUUGAUCUGAAAAAUGGAGUAAAAGCACAUAGUUAUUGUAAAUACUAUAUGUUGUUUCACUUAAAGUGCAUACAGUAUGGCCUGGGAUUCAGGCAUUGCUCAAUGUUAAUUUCUUUCCUCUUCUAUCUCAUUUGUGUAUCUGAAUAACAGCCAACCAAAGACACCAGGUCCUGAUUUCUGGAACCUGGUAAAUGUGACUUUAAAUGGCAGGUUUUGCUGGUGUAUUGUGGAUCAUCUGGGUGAGUCCUAAAUGCCACAAGUGUCUUAUGAGAGAAGCAAAUGGAGAUUAGAUACAGUGAGGGUGUGAUGUGAAAACAAAAGCAGAGAUUGAGGAGUGAUGUGGCUACAAGCUAAGGAAUGUUGGCCCCCACUAGAAGCUAGAAGAGACAAGGCAGAGAUUCUGCCCUAGAGCCACCUCAGGGAGCGAAACUCUCCCAACACCAUGAUUACAGCCCAACAAAAUAGUUUCAGACUUCUGGCCUCCAGAACUGAGAAUAAACUUCUUUUGUUUUCUGCCACUACAUUUGUGGUGAUUUGUCACAGAGCCACAGGAAACUAAUACACUAACCACAGACUAAAUCAAAGAUGGCUACUCAGUUGGAGGGGGGCUUCCUGACAGUGGCUAUGGGGGUCAGGGACCAUGGAUGUUGAUUACUCAAUAAAGAAGUCCACUGGGACGCCUGGGUGGCUCAGUGGUUAAGCAUCUAUCUUUGGCUCAGGGCGUGAUCCUGGAGUCCCAGGAGUCUGGAAUGCUGCAGGCUAAUUGCUACAAUGGUUGGAAGCAAAACAACACAGGAAGCAGAUUACAAUAAUCAUCUAAGGAAAAGGGCCAGCCAGCUCUUUGGUUUCCUACUGAGAUCCCUCAGCACUCUCUCUUAUGAGAGACCGAAAGGGUUUCCUUGGCCCACUAACAAAUCACAGGGCAAGGUGGGCAUGCUAUUUUAGAGAAACUGGUCAAUGGCAUGCUGUAAAUGCCAAAAUAGCCUGGCAUUUACUAGUGUAAUCCCUAGAAUAGCAUCCAUCCCAAAUAAAAAGGAGUAAAAAGGGAUCCCUGGGUGGCGCAGCGGUUUGGCGCCUGCCUUUGGCCCAGGGCGCGAUCCUGGAGACCCGGGAUCGAAUCCCACGUCGGGCUCCCGGUGCAUGGAGCCCGCUUCUCCCUCUGCCUGUGUCUCUGCCUCUCUCUCUCUCUCUCUCUGUGACUAUCAUGAAUAAAUAAAUAAAAUCU
RNAcentral lists this long non-coding RNA (1443 nucleotides) under Canis lupus familiaris (dog). Its description in RNAcentral is "lncRNA (ENSCAFG00000054401.1, ENSCAFG00805014412.1)". The record is from RNAcentral. Lineage: Eukaryota; Metazoa; Chordata; Mammalia; Carnivora; Canidae.